This 73-nucleotide transfer RNA is filed under the name Crassvirales sp. RNAcentral's name for it is "tRNA-Cys". It matches the Rfam family "tRNA". Rfam says of the family: Transfer RNA (tRNA) molecules are approximately 80 nucleotides in length. Their secondary structure includes four short double-helical elements and three loops (D, anti-codon, and T loops). The record is from RNAcentral. Lineage: Duplodnaviria; Heunggongvirae; Uroviricota; Caudoviricetes; Crassvirales.
AGUCCUGUGCCUGAGUGAUUUAUAGGAGCUGCCUGCAAAGCAGUUAUUCGUAGGUUUGAAUCCUACCGGGACC